AGAGGUGGUUGGGUCCUGAGAGCUCUGCCCUUAUGAAUGGAUUAGUGUCAUUAUUGCAGGAGUGGCUUCAUGAUGGAGAGAGUGGAUUUGUCAUGAAAGUGAGUUCGGCCAUUCCUUGCUGUCUCACGUGCCACCUCUUGCCAUGGGAUGCCCUCGCCAUGGGAUGACAGCAAGAAGGCCCGUGCUUGAGUGAGCCCCUCCAUCUUCGGCUCUCCGGCCUCCAGGACUGUUAGAAAUACAUCUCUGUUCUUUGUAAAUUACCCAGGUUGUAGUACUCUGUUAUAGCAACACAAAACAGACUAAGACACUACUAUGUGGAUGAAGAAACAGGCCCAAGAGGUGAGGAGUGUUGUCCAGGUCUUCUGGCCAGAGGAGCGGCAGAGAUGGGAUUUCAACCCUGGGACUGUGUGGCUUGUGACCACUCCUAGCUUCAGCCCUGCCCGGUGCUGAGGGGUUUGGGGCCAGAACGAUGGCCAGAUGUUUGGGCACACUGGGCCCUACCCACCUGGAAAGAGGCUGGCCUAGGGUUGAAUGAGAACCAGAAGUGACUCAGGCUAGGACCCCUCUGCAUCCUCCCUCAGGCCGUGGGUAAUUACCUGCCCAGGUUAAUAGCGCCCACUUCCCGCCACCUUUCAUCAAGGCUCCUGGAGCUGCCAGGCAGUAAUUAACCCUCACAGCACCCUUCUGAAGUCAGCACUGAAGGCAGACGUGUGAUGAAACGCGUUUAUUACAGGAAGCACCAGUUGGCCCAGAUGCUUCUCAUCUUUGGAGUUGAGCUGCAGGCUGGAGACCUGGAAGGCCCUCGCAGCGCCUGCUCCCAUCCUCUCACCUCACGAAAGCGCAGGAAUGUGGGUUUGGAGUCAAUGAAAAGUACUGGAAUCUGGCUCUGCUCUGUGACCCUGGGCAAGUCACUGCACCUCUCUGGGCUUCAGUUUCCUCCUUG
Molecule: long non-coding RNA, 943 nt
Filed under: Pan troglodytes (chimpanzee)
Lineage: Eukaryota; Metazoa; Chordata; Mammalia; Primates; Hominidae
Description: lincRNA
Source: RNAcentral